Molecule: ribosomal RNA, 377 nt
Filed under: uncultured bacterium
Lineage: Bacteria
Description: bacterial SSU rRNA
Rfam family: Bacterial small subunit ribosomal RNA
Source: RNAcentral
UAAUACAGAGGUGGCAAGCGUUGUUCGGAAUUACUGGGCGUAAAGGGCGCGUAGGCGGCCGCCUAAGUCAGACGUGAAAUCCCCAAGCUUAACUUGGGAACUGCGUCUGAUACUGGGUGGCUUGAGUUCGGGAGAGGAAUGUGGAAUUCCAGGUGUAGCGGUGAAAUGCGUAGAUAUCUGGAGGAACACCGGUGGCGAAGGCGGCAUUCUGGACCGAAACUGACGCUGAGGCGCGAAAGCCAGGGGAGCAAACGGGAUUAGAUACCCCGGUAGUCCUGGCCCUAAACGAUGAGUGCUUGGUGUGGUGGGUAUCGAUCCCUGCCGUGCCGAAGCUAACGCAUUAAGCACUCCGCCUGGGGAGUACGGUCGCAAGGCUG